This is a ribosomal RNA of 607 nucleotides. The stretch from base 228 to 381 matches the Rfam family "5.8S ribosomal RNA".
UCCGUAGGUGAACCUGCGGAAGGAUCAUUAACCAGUUUUGAAAGGGGUUGUAGCUGGCCUCCGAGGCAUGUGCACGCCCUGCUCAUUCCACUCUACACCUGUGCACUUACUGUGGGUCUCAGGCCUGCGUCGGUCGCUUCGCGGCGUCGUCGUUCAACUGGGCUCACGUUUUACUACAAACUAUUAAAGUAUCAGAAUGUCUACUGCGAAUUAACGCAUUUAAAUACAACUUUCAGCAACGGAUCUCUUGGCUCUCGCAUCGAUGAAGAACGCAGCGAAAUGCGAUAAGUAAUGUGAAUUGCAGAAUUCAGUGAAUCAUCGAAUCUUUGAACGCACCUUGCGCUCCUUGGUAUUCCGAGGAGCAUGCCUGUUUGAGUGUCAUGAAAUUCUCAACCUAACGAGUCUUUGCGGGCUCGGUAGGCUUGGACUUGGAGGUUCUUGUCGGCCUAACGGUCGGCUCCUCUUAAAUGCAUUAGCUCGGUUCCUUGCGGAUCGGCUCACGGUGUGAUAAUUGUCUACGCCGCGACCGUUGAAGCGUUUUGGCCGGCUUCUAAUCGUCUCGUUGGAGACACUACUCUUUAUGACCUUCUGACCUCAAAUCAGGUAG